UACGAAGGGGGCUAGCGUUGCUCGGAAUCACUGGGCGUAAAGGGUGCGUAGGCGGGUCUUUAAGUCAGGGGUGAAAUCCCGGGGCUCAACCUCGGAACUGCCUUUGAUACUGCGGGUCUUGAGUCCGAUAGAGGUGGGUGGAAUUCCUAGUGUAGAGGUGAAAUUCGUAGAUAUUAGGAAGAACACCGGUGGCGAAGGCGGCCCACUGGAUCGGUACUGACGCUGAGGUGCGAAAGCGUGGGGAGCAAACAGG
RNAcentral lists this ribosomal RNA (253 nucleotides) under uncultured bacterium. RNAcentral describes it as "partial 16S ribosomal RNA". It matches the Rfam family "Bacterial small subunit ribosomal RNA", at positions 524 to 776 of the family's 1533-position model. The record is from RNAcentral.